CCCCUGGAGUAGAGGACUCAGGUCCCUCUCCCAUUCACCCCUGGGCCUCUCCAGCACAGGCUUAUGGAGCAAGUGGGAGGGGCGAUCUCUGUUCCUGCAUGCAGGGGCCUGUGCUCAGAGAUCUCUGAGAUUUCCUGAAGGCAGGUGACUUGUCUCAUCUGGCUCCUGGAGAAUGAUAAGCAUGCAGUUUCUGGACCAUGAUGUUGCCUUGACGAGGACUCCCAAGUACUUGCUGAUAGCAGACCAUUUCCAAGACUUUCAAGGUUGAAGCUCAAGCAUGCCUGCCAGGAUCUGCUGCACUCACCACCACCCCUCCCCCACACCAGAAAAAGACUCUCAAUCUUUAAGAGAUUCAACAUCUCUUGAGGUUUGAUUAAACAAUAAUCUUGAGCCUACCAUUACCCAAGGGAGUUUCUUAGCUAUAUGAAUUUUAGAAGCUCCGGUGAGGCUGACCACAGCUGACCCCGUCUGAAAUGUCUGCUCCUGCACUGUGCACACUUCCCAAACUGGACAGGGGCUCUCUGUUAUUGCAGCCUCCCUCUGCCUUUGAGCUGACAGUGUAAGGAGGAUCACAGCUCCUCCAGUGUAAGUCCACUUCCCUGUAGUGCUGUCCAACACGUUGACAUCAUGAGGAUGCCUGGCUCGUGACCAGGAUGAGGUCACAACUAGGAUGUAAUCUAAAGCCCCCAGGUGAGAUCCUCAUAGCAUGACCAGACGUUGGCUCUCCCAUCUACCACUGUUCUCACCCUAUCGUACCUUGAAAGACCUCAACAUUAGAGACAAAUGUAUAUUUUAUAUGGGUGAUACAUGAGGGAGAUUAAUGAUAUAUAUAAUGGAGCAAACUCUUCAAAUCCCACACUAAUCUCUCUCUCCUCUCAGCUUCUUCUCUUGUAUUAUUCCCUAUUGUUUUGGGUCGAGCAGUGCCUAAUAAAUUCUAAGUUCCUUAAA
Equus caballus (horse) is the source of this 948-nucleotide non-coding RNA. The record is from RefSeq and is a predicted model, not a curated record. NCBI's taxonomy places the organism in Eukaryota, Metazoa, Chordata, Mammalia, Perissodactyla, Equidae.